RNAcentral lists this non-coding RNA (29 nucleotides) under Homo sapiens (human). The record is from RNAcentral. Lineage: Eukaryota; Metazoa; Chordata; Mammalia; Primates; Hominidae.
UGGUGUCACUCUGUAAGAGUCUGAGCAGU